UAGCCUCACUUUCGAUCAUGUUUUGCUCCACGAUGUGGACGCAACAAGCGGGUUCCUGUGCUGCAUACCCUAUUGCGACGGAAAUUGAUGCCUAUUGUCGUCCCUUCCAACGCGACAUCCUCUUUGGGUGCUCGGUUGGACUAGAUAGUGGGGCUUGCGUUCCUCGAACAUAUCGUUCGGAUGGACCGCAAGUGCCUUACUUGUUCUCUCGGAUGCGGAAAUUUCUUCAUGGGUAUUGGGGUCAUCGGCCCUUUUUCCCAAUCUCAAGCGUUAAACGCUCUUUCGGAAUGACGCUCUCGCCAUGUCUUUGGCCACGUGGAUCUCUCGGGCUUCAUGUUGGCUCAUGCUUGGCGGACGUCGUGAAGGAAUGCUACCUGGUUGAUCCUGCCAGUAGUCAUAUGCUUGUCUCAAAGAUUAAGCCAUGCAUGUGUAACGUAUGAACUAAUUCAGA
This 451-nucleotide unclassified non-coding RNA is filed under the name Austromyrtus glabra. RNAcentral describes it as "partial contains external transcribed spacer and 18S ribosomal RNA". The stretch from base 372 to 451 matches the Rfam family "Eukaryotic small subunit ribosomal RNA", at positions 1 to 80 of the family's 1831-position model. The record is from RNAcentral. Lineage: Eukaryota; Viridiplantae; Streptophyta; Magnoliopsida; Myrtales; Myrtaceae.